AGCGAACGCUGGCGGCAGGCUUAACACAUGCAAGUCGAGCGGGCACCUUCGGGUGUCAGCGGCAGACGGGUGAGUAACACGUGGGAACGUACCCUUCGGUUCGGAAUAACGCUGGGAAACUAGCGCUAAUACCGGAUACGCCCUUAUGGGGAAAGGUUUACUGCCGAAGGAUCGGCCCGCGUCUGAUUAGCUAGUUGGUGGGGUAACGGCCUACCAAGGCGACGAUCAGUAGCUGGUCUGAGAGGAUGAUCAGCCACACUGGGACUGAGACACGGCCCAGACUCCUACGGGAGGCAGCAGUGGGGAAUAUUGGACAAUGGGCGCAAGCCUGAUCCAGCCAUGCCGCGUGAGUGAUGAAGGCCUUAGGGUUGUAAAGCUCUUUUGUCCGGGACGAUAUGACGGUACCGGAAGAAUAAGCCCCGGCUAACUUCGUG
RNAcentral lists this ribosomal RNA (434 nucleotides) under uncultured bacterium. RNAcentral describes it as "partial 16S ribosomal RNA". It matches the Rfam family "Bacterial small subunit ribosomal RNA", at positions 29 to 507 of the family's 1533-position model. The record is from RNAcentral.